Pecten maximus is the source of this 281-nucleotide long non-coding RNA. RefSeq lists it as uncharacterized. The record is from RefSeq and is a predicted model, not a curated record. The transcript has 3 exons. Lineage: Eukaryota; Metazoa; Mollusca; Bivalvia; Pectinida; Pectinidae.
ACUAGGUGGGGCUGUAUAGAGAUUAUACCCCACUUUACUAGGUGUGGCUGUAUAGAGAUUAUACCCCACUUUACUAGGUGGGGCUGUAUAGAGAUUAUACCCCACUUUACUAGGUGGAGCUGUAUAGAGAUUAUACCACACUUUACUAGGUGGGGCUGUAUAGAGAUUAUACCCCACUUUACUAGGUGGGGCUGUAUAGAGAUUAUACCCCACUUUACUAGGUGGGGCUGUAUAGAGAUUAUACCCCACUUUACUAGGUGGGGCUGUAUAGAGAUUAUACC